Molecule: long non-coding RNA, 244 nt
Filed under: Manihot esculenta (cassava)
Lineage: Eukaryota; Viridiplantae; Streptophyta; Magnoliopsida; Malpighiales; Euphorbiaceae
Description: long non-coding RNA (MESC_LNC007081)
Source: RNAcentral
AAGAAUCCCCUUAAACUCACUCAAACAUUCCUGAAAAGUAUGCAAAGGAAAGCUGGACAGAACACUUUCGGCGGCAGGUUCGGCGGCCGAAAGUCCUCUCCAGAGCCGAAACUCAUGCACCUUCUGCGCCCGAAUCUCAACUUUCGACAGCCGAACCCUUUCGGGGGCAAGUUUCGGAGGCUGAAAGGCACUCCAGAGACGAAAGUCUCUAACCUUCGGCGGCACCUUCGGCGGCCGAAACUCC